This 752-nucleotide ribosomal RNA is filed under the name Diapontia uruguayensis. RNAcentral's name for it is "eukaryotic LSU rRNA". It matches the Rfam family "Eukaryotic large subunit ribosomal RNA", at positions 401 to 899 of the family's 3401-position model. Lineage: Eukaryota; Metazoa; Arthropoda; Arachnida; Araneae; Lycosidae. The record is from RNAcentral.
GAAACUGNNCANAGGUAAACGGGUGGGUCCACGAAAUCCUGNGNCGGGAAGAUUCAGUCUGGAGUUGCCGUCUCGAUGGUCGGAAAUCCAAGUAGGGCUUCCCGCGAACGGGGCCGUCCGAUCGCGAGCUUCGGUCAGGCCAGACGCAUUUGUCUCCCGCUCGAAGGACGCCGNAGCCGGUCGGGCAGUGCAAACGUGACGGUCUGGAAGGCGGACGACGGCAGGUGACCGGAGGCGCGCCCAGUGCGCUCCGUCGGUUGUUAGCCGGUCCGUCGGUGACCCGUCGCUCGACCGAGGUAUCGAUAUGCAUCUCCUCCUCCACGGAAAUCGGGACUUUCUGUCGCGAGCGAAGGCAGUCGCGCGGUCGCACUCCGACGGAGUGGACCAGCGUCGAAUCUGCGCUGUCUGCGAUGGAGGACCCGUUGGAGAUCGGAGGUUGGCGGCGAGUAGGUCGGUCACCCACCCGACCCGUCUUGAAACACGGACCAAGGAGUCUAACAUGUGCGCGAGUCAGUGGGUCUCGAAUAAGCCCAGAGGCGCAACGAAAGCGAAGGUAGGCGCCACGCCGACCGAGUCGGGAUCCCGCUCCCUCCAUUGGGGCGGGCGCACCGACGACCCGUCCUUUGCGGCUUGCCGCUUGGGCGGAGUGUGAGCGUACACGUUGGGACCCGAAAGAUGGUGAACUAUGCCCGGGCAGGACGAGGCCAGAGGAAACUCUGGUGGAGGUCCGAAGCGGUUCUGACGUGCAAAUC